RNAcentral lists this ribosomal RNA (870 nucleotides) under Septorioides strobi. Its description in RNAcentral is "SSU rRNA". It matches the Rfam family "Eukaryotic small subunit ribosomal RNA", at positions 231 to 1105 of the family's 1831-position model. The record is from RNAcentral. Lineage: Eukaryota; Fungi; Ascomycota; Dothideomycetes; Botryosphaeriales; Septorioideaceae.
UUUCGGGGCUCCUUGGUGAUUCAUGAUAACUUAACGAAUCGCAUGGCCUUGCGCCGGCGAUGGUUCAUUCAAAUUUCUGCCCUAUCAACUUUCGAUGGUAGGAUAGUGGCCUACCAUGGUAUCAACGGGUAACGGGGAAUUAGGGUUCUAUUCCGGAGAGGGAGCCUGAGAAACGGCUACCACAUCCAAGGAAGGCAGCAGGCGCGCAAAUUACCCAAUCCCGACACGGGGAGGUAGUGACAAUAAAUACUGAUACAGGGCUCUUUUGGGUCUUGUAAUUGGAAUGAGUACAAUUUAAAUACCUUAACGAGGAACAAUUGGAGGGCAAGUCUGGUGCCAGCAGCCGCGGUAAUUCCAGCUCCAAUAGCGUAUAUUAAAGUUGUUGCAGUUAAAAAGCUCGUAGUUGAACCUUGGGCCUGGCUGGCCGGUCCGCCUCACCGCGUGUACUGGUCCGGCCGGGCCUUUCCUUCUGGGGAACCGCAUGCCCUUCACUGGGUGUGCUGGGGAACCAGGACUUUUACUUUGAAAAAAUUAGAGUGUUCAAAGCAGGCCUUUGCUCGAAUACAUUAGCAUGGAAUAAUAGAAUAGGACGUGCGGUCCUAUUUUGUUGGUUUCUAGGACCGCCGUAAUGAUUAAUAGGGAUAGUCGGGGGCGUCAGUAUUCAAUUGUCAGAGGUGAAAUUCUUGGAUUUAUUGAAGACUAACUACUGCGAAAGCAUUCGCCAAGGAUGUUUUCAUUAAUCAGUGAACGAAAGUUAGGGGAUCGAAGACGAUCAGAUACCGUCGUAGUCUUAACCGUAAACUAUGCCGACUAGGGAUCGGACGAUGUUAUUAUUUUGACUCGUUCGGCACCUUACGAGAAAUCAAAGUC